GAGAUCAUCAUCAUCAUAAUGAACACGCGGACACGCUUCUUGUUCGAUCAGCCAUUGUGGGUAUGUGCCACAACCCGCCUAUCUAUGCCUGCCAUUUCUUGGCCAAUCCCCUGUUGUGGGCAGGUGCCAUUGCAUGAAAAUUAUCAUCAUCGUAAUGAACACGCAGACACGCUUCUUGGUCGAUCAGCCAUUGUGGGUAUGUGCCACAACCCGCCUAUGUAUACCUGCCAUUUCUUGGGCAAUCCCCUGUUGCGGGCAGGUGCCAUUGUAUGGAGAUCAUCAUCAUCACAAUGAACACGCGGACACGCUUCUUGGUCGAUCCCCCGUUGUGGUUAUGUGCCACAACCCGCCUAUGUAUACCUGCCAUUUCUCGGCCAAUCCCCUGUUGUGGGCAGGUGCCAUUGUAUGGAGAUCAUCAUCAUCACAAUGAACACGCGGACACGCUUCUUGGUCGAUCCCCCGUUGUGGUUAUGUGCCACAACCCGCCUAUGUAUACCUGCCAUUUCUCGGCCAAUCCCCUGUUGUGGGCAGGUGCCAUUGUAUGGAGAUCAUCAUCAUCACAAUGAACACGCGGACACGCUUCUUGGUCGAUCCCCCGUUGUGGUUAUGUGCCACAACCCGCCUAUGUAUACCUGCCAUUUCUCGGCCAAUCCCCUGUUGUGGGCAGGUGCCAUUGCAUCGAGAACAUCAUCAUCACAAUGAACACGCAGACGCGCUUCUUGGUCGAUCAGCCAUUGUGGA
This is a long non-coding RNA of Dermacentor silvarum, 741 nucleotides long. RefSeq lists it as uncharacterized. The record is from RefSeq and is a predicted model, not a curated record. The transcript is spliced from 4 exons. NCBI's taxonomy places the organism in Eukaryota, Metazoa, Arthropoda, Arachnida, Ixodida, Ixodidae.